AGUGAACGCUGGCGGUAGGCCUAACACAUGCAAGUCGAACGGCAGCACAGUAAGAGCUUGCUCUUACGGGUGGCGAGUGGCGGACGGGUGAGGAAUACAUCGGAAUCUACUUUUUCGUGGGGGAUAACGUAGGGAAACUUACGCUAAUACCGCAUACGACCUACGGGUGAAAGCAGGGGAUCUUCGGACCUUGCGCGAUUGAAUGAGCCGAUGUCGGAUUAGCUAGUUGGCGGGGUAAAGGCCCACCAAGGCGACGAUCCGUAGCUGGUCUGAGAGGAUGAUCAGCCACACUGGAACUGAGAAACGGUCCAGACUCCUACGGGAGGCAGCAGUGGGGAAUAUUGGACAAUGGGCGCAAGCCUGAUCCAGCCAUACCGCGUGGGUGAAGAAGGCCUUCGGGUUGUAAAGCCCUUUUGCUGGGAAAGAAAAGCAGCAGGUUAAUACCCCGCUGUUCUGACGGUACCCAAAGAAUAAGCACCGGCUAACUUCGUG
Molecule: ribosomal RNA, 492 nt
Filed under: uncultured bacterium
Lineage: Bacteria
Description: partial 16S ribosomal RNA
Rfam family: Bacterial small subunit ribosomal RNA
Source: RNAcentral